GACGAACGCUGGCGGCGUGCUUAACACAUGCAAGUCGAACGGUGAAGCGCCUUCCUUUUUGGUGGGUGUGGAUGAGUGGCGAACGGGUGAGUAACACGUGAGUAACCUGCCCCCUUCUUCUGGAUAACCGCAUGAAAGUGUGGCUAAUACGGGAUAUUCUGGGUCUGUCGCAUGAUGGGUCUGGGAAAGAUAUUGUUUCGGUGGGGGAUGGGCUCGCGGCCUAUCAGCUUGUUGGUGGGGUGAUGGCCUACCAAGGCGGUGACGGGUAGCCGGCCUGAGAGGGUGGACGGUCACGCUGGGACGGAGACACGGCCCAGACUCCUACGGGAGGCAGCAGUGGGGAAUAUUGCACAAUGGGCGGAAGCAUGAUGCAGCGACGCCGCGUGAGGGAUGGAGGCCUUCGGGUUGUGAACCUCUUUCGCCAGUGAAGCAGGCCUGCCUCGUUUGUGGGUGGGUUGACGGUAGCUGGAUAAGAAGCGCCGGCUAACUACGUG
This 494-nucleotide ribosomal RNA is filed under the name uncultured bacterium. RNAcentral describes it as "partial 16S ribosomal RNA". It matches the Rfam family "Bacterial small subunit ribosomal RNA", at positions 28 to 507 of the family's 1533-position model. The record is from RNAcentral.